GAUGAACGCUGGCGGCGUGCCUAAUACAUGCAAGUCGAGCGAACGGACGAGAAGCUUGCUUCUCUGAUGUUAGCGGCGGACGGGUGAGUAACACGUGGAUAACCUACCUAUAAGACUGGGAUAACUUCGGGAAACCGUAGCUAAUACCGGCUAAUAUUUUGAACCGCAUGGUUCAAAAGUGAAAGACGGUCUUGCGGUCACUUAUAGAUGGAUCCGCGCUGCAUUAGCUAGUUGGUAGGGUAACGGCUUACCAAGGCAACGAUGCAUAGCCGACCUGAGAGGGUGAUCGGCCACACUGGAACUGAGACACGGUCCAGACUCCUACGGGAGGCAGAAGUAGGGAAUCUUCCGCAAAGGGCGAAAGCCUGACGGAGCAACGCCGCGUGAGUGAUGAAGGUCUUCGGAUCGUAAAACUCUGUUAUUAGGGAAGAACAUAUGUGUAAGUAACUGUGCACAUCUUGACGGUACCUAAUCAGAAAGCCACGGCUAACUACGUG
RNAcentral lists this ribosomal RNA (497 nucleotides) under uncultured bacterium. Its description in RNAcentral is "partial 16S ribosomal RNA". It matches the Rfam family "Bacterial small subunit ribosomal RNA", at positions 28 to 507 of the family's 1533-position model. The record is from RNAcentral.